Molecule: RNA transcript, 1934 nt
Organism: Eubalaena glacialis (North Atlantic right whale)
Lineage: Eukaryota; Metazoa; Chordata; Mammalia; Artiodactyla; Balaenidae
Gene: MICU3
Gene name: mitochondrial calcium uptake family member 3
Exons: 17
Source: RefSeq, a predicted model, not a curated record
GCUAUGGCUGCGCUGCGGACGCUUCUGCGGCCGCCGCCUCGGCUCCCGCCUCCGCCCUCGCCUCACCAUCCCUUCCCUGGGCCGUGCGGGCGGCCUGCGGGCACGGCCCCGGGCCCUCCCGGCCGGCCCUUCUUCUGCCGGAAGGAGGAGGAGGGGGCUGUGGCUGAGGCGGCUUGGAGGCGGCGGCGGCGCUGGGGGGAGCUGAGCAUCGCAGCCGCGGCCGGCGGGGGUCUGGUCGGCCUGGUGUGCUACCAGCUGUAUGGGGACCCCAGGGCCGACUCCGCGCGGGCGCCGGCCCCCUGGCUCCCCUCCAGGAGCGCGGCCGCAGAGCCGGAGGAACCGCCCCGCGGCCGGGGGCUGCUUCCCAUCCCGGUCGCCGCUGCCAAGGAGACGGUUGCUGUUGGCAGAGCAGACAUUGAAGACCUAGAUCUCUAUGCAACAUCUCGGGAAAAGCGAUUUCGUUUGUUUGCGUCUGUAGAAUGUGAAGGGCAGUUAUUCAUGACUCCAUAUGAUUUUAUUUUGGCUGUUACAACAGAUGAGCCCAAAUUUGCUAAAACAUGGAAGUCACUUUCCAAGCAGGAAUUAAAUCAAAUGCUAUCAGAAACACCACCAGUUUGGAAAGGAUCAUCAAAGCUAUUUCGAAAUCUUAAAGAAAGAGGUGUGAUUUCUUACACAGAAUAUCUUUUUCUUUUAUGUAUUUUAACAAAGCCACAUGCAGGUUUUAGAAUAGCUUUCAACAUGUUUGACACCGAUGGCAAUGAGAUGGUGGAUAAAAAGGAGUUUUUGGUGCUUCAGGAAAUAUUCAGGAAAAAAAAUGAAAAGAGAGAAACUAAAGGAGAUGAAGAAAAGCGUGCAAUGCUGCGUCUUCAACUUUAUGGAUACCAUUCUCCUACUAAUAGUGUACUUAAAACAGAUGCUGAGGAACUUGUCUCCAGAAGCUAUUGGGAUACCCUGAGACGUAAUACAAGCCAAGCACUCUUUUCAGACCUCGCAGAGCGUGCUGAUGACAUUACAAACUUAGUAACAGAUACUACACUUCUUGUACACUUUUUUGGAAAGAAAGGAAAAGCUGAGCUCAACUUUGAAGAUUUUUAUAGAUUCAUGGAUAACCUCCAAACAGAAGUUCUAGAAAUAGAAUUCCUUUCCUACUCUAAUGGGAUGAAUACUAUCAGUGAAGAAGAUUUUGCUCAUAUUCUUUUACGAUACACAAAUGUGGAAAAUACAUCAGUAUUUCUGGAAAAUGUGCGUUAUAGUAUACCUGAAGAAAAGGGCAUUACAUUUGAUGAAUUCAGGUCAUUUUUCCAGUUUUUGAACAACCUAGAAGACUUUGCAAUAGCCUUGAAUAUGUAUAAUUUUGCAAGUCGUUCUAUAGGGCAAGAUGAAUUUAAACGUGCCGUCUAUGUAGCCACUGGCCUCAGACUUUCACCACAUUUAGUGAACACAGUCUUUAAGAUUUUUGAUGUUGACAAAGAUGAUCAAUUAAGCUAUAAAGAAUUCAUUGGAAUUAUGAAAGACAGACUCCAUAGAGGAUUCCGGGGUUAUAAAACGGUUCAGAAGUAUCCCACUUUCAAAUCCUGUCUGAAGAAGGAACUUCAUAGCAGAUAAGUACUUCUAAAGCAAAGUUUAAAGGAUUAUUAUCUACUUGAAAAUGCAAGAAGCAAAAACUUCAGAGGGCGGAAGCAGGUCUGAGAUCAGAACUUGUGUAAAUGAAGGAAAAGAUCACUUGUCCACCUCCCACUGAUUGAACCAACCAGAAUCCAGAGUGGAAAGAGUCUUCCAAUAAAAGGACAAAAGAGUGUCUUGAACCAGAGCCAGUGUGAGUUUCUACAAACCACUGGGCAAGACAUAUUAAUUCCACCUCCUCCCAUAUCUGCCAUACAGAAAAUCCAGCAUGACUAAUCUAGCCUACAGCUUGACAGAAACAGAGCUGAAUA